Molecule: ribosomal RNA, 759 nt
Filed under: Meloidogyne incognita (southern root-knot nematode)
Lineage: Eukaryota; Metazoa; Nematoda; Chromadorea; Rhabditida; Meloidogynidae
Description: partial large subunit ribosomal RNA
Rfam family: Eukaryotic large subunit ribosomal RNA
Source: RNAcentral
ACAAGUACCGUGAGGGAAAGUUGCAAAGCACUUUGAAGAGAGAGUUAAAGAGGACGUGAAACCGGUAAGGUGGAAACGGAUAGAGUCGGCGUAUCAUUCAAUUAUUCAGUUACAUUAUUUUUAUGUUGUGACCUCUGAGCUCCAGAUUGGGACAGAGGGAAUCAGCAUAAUUUUUUGUGGCGCAUUUACUUGAUUGGUGCUUGGGGAUGUUUGAGGCAGAUUUGUUUCCGUCGUUUUGAGGCCAGCUUGCUGGUACCCAAACGGUGUUAGCAUUUUUUGUCUCGGGCAUUUGAGUAUGGCUCACGUGUAUUUAUUGGACAGAUCUGAGUGUAAGUUACGGUCGCAUGCGACACGCGCUUUUCAAUUAGUUCGGUCCAGUUAAUGCUCUCGUACUCGUUCCCCAUGUAAAAGCCGGUCAUCUAUCCGACCCGUCUUGAAACACGGACCAAGGAGUUUAUCGUGUGCGCAAGUUUUUGGGUGUUAAAAACUUAAAAGCGAAAUGAAAGUAAAUGACUCUUUAGAGUCUGAUGUGCGAUCUUGUAAAAAAGUGUAGCAUGGCCCCAUUCUAACUGUUUACAGUAGGGUGGCGGAAGAGCGUACGCGGUGAGACCCGAAAGAUGGUGAACUAUUCCUGAGCAGGACGAAGCCAGAGGAAACUCUGGUGGAAGUCCGAAGCGGUUCUGACGUGCAAAUCGAUCGUCUGACUUGGGUAUAGGGGCGAAAGACUAAUCGAACCAUCUAGUAGCUGGUUCCUUCCGA